RNAcentral lists this ribozyme (78 nucleotides) under unclassified sequences. RNAcentral describes it as "HDV ribozyme from F. prausnitzii". It matches the Rfam family "HDV ribozyme from F. prausnitzii". The record is from RNAcentral.
GCCGCUCGGAACUUUGCACACCUCUACGUGGUGGGCGGCAGGCAACACAGUAUAAGAUAAUGUGGCUAAGAUGUAGAG